RNAcentral lists this long non-coding RNA (1474 nucleotides) under Sitophilus oryzae (rice weevil). RNAcentral's name for it is "uncharacterized LOC115879035". The record is from RNAcentral. Lineage: Eukaryota; Metazoa; Arthropoda; Insecta; Coleoptera; Curculionidae.
UUCCAUCUUUUAGAAUCCUCAUAUGGAUUUUGACUAAGAACUAGCAUUUAAUUAAAUAUAUUCCAAAAUGAGUUUAUUAUGAUGCUUAAUAUUUUCAUACUAAUUUAUUGUAAUAAAAUAGGCCCAGUUCUGUUACACUGGCCCCAACAUUUAUGAAAUAACUUAAUUACUAGCCAGUUGUGGAAAGGAGUUGUUUAUGAAUUUGUACGUUCGGCAUCAUUCGGGUGAAAAUCGAAACUCCUUCGGCUCGAUGCGUUUGCGUUUUGUACACAGUAAAAAAUGACCUGGUGGUAGAAAAGAUAUUUAGUGUGGUAAAUUAUCAGAGUGUUAAUAUUUACACUCGCGUUAAUAAAAUUAAACAGAAAUAAUAACACGCAAACUUUGAAAAUCAAAUCUACCAAAAAAAAAAGCGAAAUUAGUGUGUGGAGUGUAAACUUCACUUAUAUUUGGUAAGAAUCAUAUAAUCAGUGUAAAUGUUACCUUCCAAGAAAUGUUGUUUGCCUUACAUACGUCUUAAAAACACCCAUACCGUGUUAUAAAGACAGGCAAAACGCAGUUUUAACACUCGGGAGUGUUAAAAAAACCAUCAUAUUGGGUGACGCGCGGCAUAUCCCCACUGCUUUCGCGUUCCUGCACGCCUAUUUGCCUAUUUCAAGUUGGUGGUUGUACGGGUUGAUCGUUGUGUGUUAUAGUGCCCAUGAUUUUGGCAAACUGAUGCAUAAAAUUCAGUUAAACAACAAAACUAAAUACGCCAAAAUUGAUGAAACAUCAGAUAAUGUGAGUCUGAAAUAGUCGAGUUAGGAGAUAUUUUAUAAUGACAGCUUAAGAACCUCAAGUGGCUUGGAGGCUCCGAACCGUAGCAAGAUCCAAUAUGGUGCCAAGCUCCAAACGAAAGUUACCACCACCCGUUACAUAUAAUAGUGAUGACCCAUCAGAUGAACCAACCUUAAAAAAACCAGAACAUUGAGAGAACAAGAAGUAGCAGACAUAGAAUUUUUUCAAAAUGCUUGUUGCAAGACACAGAAAAAGGAAAUCAUGGAAAAAAUUAAAAACCUUUUUAUAUGUAGAAAAAUUAAUGACUUUUCAUUUGUCGAUUAUCCCAGAUUUUUGGACACGCUAGGACUUAUUGAACAAGAUGUCAGCUUGCUAUAUCCUGCUAAUGCCAAUAACUUUGUGGCGAAGUUUGAAAAUAAGGCUGCAAAUAUCAUACAAAUAUACGAGGCGACAAUUUCAUACCUCAAAUAAGGUACAUAUAUAUUAUUUUUUAUUUUGCGUUUACUUAUAAAUAGCUCCCUAGAGUAAGGAAUAUUUUUUGUUUCGUUGCCACCAAACGUAACUAUACCUACCUAAAAUAAGGUAUACAUAUAUUUUUUUAUUUUCCUAGAGUAAGGAAUAUUUUUUGUUUCGUUGUUACCUACAAAUAAAUAAGGUAUAUUAUAUAUUUUAUUUUGGCCAAUAAAAUCCUUUAUGGGUA